AGCGAGGGUGCUUGCACCUUAGCUUAGCGGCGGACGGGUGAGUAAUGCUUAGGAAUCUGCCUAUUAGUGGGGGACAACAUUCCGAAAGGAAUGCUAAUACCGCAUACGCCCUACGGGGGAAAGCAGGGGAUCUUCGGACCUUGCGCUAAUAGAUGAGCCUAAGUCGGAUUAGCUAGUUGGUGGGGUAAAGGCCUACCAAGGCGACGAUCUGUAGCGGGUCUGAGAGGAUGAUCCGCCACACUGGGACUGAGACACGGCCCAGACUCCUACGGGAGGCAGCAGUGGGGAAUAUUGGACAAUGGGCGGAAGCCUGAUCCAGCCAUGCCGCGUGUGUGAAGAAGGCCUUUUGGUUGUAAAGCACUUUAAGCGAGGAGGAGGCUACUUAGAUUAAUACUCUAGGAUAGUGGACGUUACUCGCAGAAUAAGCACCGGCUAACUCUGUGCCAGCAGCCGCGGUAAUACAGAGGGUGCGAGCGUUAAUCGGAUUUACUGGGCGUAA
RNAcentral lists this ribosomal RNA (499 nucleotides) under uncultured bacterium. RNAcentral's name for it is "bacterial SSU rRNA". It matches the Rfam family "Bacterial small subunit ribosomal RNA", at positions 69 to 563 of the family's 1533-position model. The record is from RNAcentral.